Molecule: ribosomal RNA, 253 nt
Filed under: uncultured bacterium
Lineage: Bacteria
Description: partial 16S ribosomal RNA
Rfam family: Bacterial small subunit ribosomal RNA
Source: RNAcentral
GACAGAGGUGCCAAGCGUUAGGCGGAAUCACUGGGCUUAAAGCGUGUGUAGGCGGACUUGUAAGUACCUUGUGAAAUCCCCCGGCUUAACCGGGGAACUGCUUGGUAUACUGGGUGUCUUGAGCCACUUAGGGGCGACCGGAACAAACGGUGGAGCGGUGAAAUGCGUAGAUAUCGUUUGGAACGCCAAUGGUGAAAACAGGUCGCUGGGAGUGUGCUGACGCUGAGACACGAAAGCCAGGGGAGCGAACGGG